RNAcentral lists this transfer RNA (73 nucleotides) under Camelus ferus (Wild Bactrian camel). It matches the Rfam family "tRNA". From Rfam's summary of the family: Transfer RNA (tRNA) molecules are approximately 80 nucleotides in length. Their secondary structure includes four short double-helical elements and three loops (D, anti-codon, and T loops). Further hydrogen bonds mediate the characteristic L-shaped molecular structure. tRNAs have two regions of fundamental functional importance: the anti-codon, which is responsible for specific mRNA codon recognition, and the 3' end, to which the tRNAs corresponding amino acid is attached (by aminoacyl-tRNA synthetases). tRNAs cope with the degeneracy of the genetic code in two manners: having more than one tRNA (with a specific anti-codon) for a particular amino acid; and 'wobble' base-pairing, i.e. permitting non-standard base-pairing at the 3rd anti-codon position. Lineage: Eukaryota; Metazoa; Chordata; Mammalia; Artiodactyla; Camelidae. The record is from Rfam by way of RNAcentral.
GAGGGUAUAGCUCAAGUGGUAGAGCACAUGCUUAGCAUACACAAGGCCCUGGGUUCAAUCCCCAGUAUCUCCA